This 914-nucleotide ribosomal RNA is filed under the name uncultured marine archaeon. RNAcentral's name for it is "bacterial SSU rRNA". It matches the Rfam family "Archaeal small subunit ribosomal RNA", at positions 1 to 922 of the family's 1478-position model. The record is from RNAcentral.
UUCCGGUUGAUCCUGCCGGACCUGACUGCUAUCGGAUUGAUACUAAGCCAUGCGAGUCUUUGCAGUAAUGCAAGGCAUACGGCUCAGUAACACGUAGUCAACUUACCCUAUGGACGAGGAUAAUCUCGGGAAACUGAGCAUAAUACUCGAUAGAUCAUAAUGCCUGGAACGGUUUAUGGUUGAAAUGAUUCGUCGCCAUAGGAUAGGACCGCGGCCUAUCAGCUUGUUGGUGAGGUAAUGGCCCACCAAGGCGAUUACAGGUACGGGCUCUGAGAGGAGAAGCCCGGAGAUGGGUACUGAGACAAGGACCCAGGCCCUAUGGGGCGCAGCAGGCGAGAAAACUUUGCAAUGUGCGAAAGCACGACAAGGUUAAUCCGAGUGAUUUCUGCUAAAGAAAUCUUUUGCAAGUCAUAAAACCACUAGUGAAUAAGGGGUGGGCAAGUUCUGGUGUCAGCCGCCGCGGUAAAACCAGCACCUCAAGUGGUCAGGAGGAUUAUUGGGCCUAAAGCAUCCGUAGCCGGCUCUGUAAGUUUUCGGUUAAAUCCAUGUGCUCAACGCAUGGGCUGUCGAAAAUACUGCAUAGCUAGGGAGUGGGAGAGGUAGACGGUACUCGGUAGGAAGGGGUAAAAUCCUUUGAUCUAUCGAUGACCACCUGUGGCGAAGGCGGUCUACCAGAACACGUUCGACGGUGAGGGAUGAAAGCUGGGGGAGCAAACCGGAUUAGAUACCCGGGUAGUCCCAGCUGUAAACGAUGCAGACUCGAUGAUGCAUUGGCAUAUAGCCAGUGCAGUGUCGCAGGGAAGCCGUUAAGUCUGCCGCCUGGGAAGUACGUACGCAAGUAUGAAACUUAAAGGAAUUGGCGGGGGAGCACCACAAGGGGUGAAGCCUGCGGUUCAAUUGGAGUCAACGCCGGG